RNAcentral lists this transfer RNA (81 nucleotides) under Diaphorina citri (Asian citrus psyllid). It matches the Rfam family "tRNA". Rfam says of the family: Transfer RNA (tRNA) molecules are approximately 80 nucleotides in length. Their secondary structure includes four short double-helical elements and three loops (D, anti-codon, and T loops). The record is from Rfam by way of RNAcentral. Lineage: Eukaryota; Metazoa; Arthropoda; Insecta; Hemiptera; Psyllidae.
GCCUAGUUAGCUUAGUUGGUAGUGCGUCUGCCUUGUAAGCGCAGAAGCGCUAGGCCGCGGGUUCGAUUCCCGCCCGGGGCG